GUUUUGACCACAAUGAUCCUCUUGAGAAGAAGGACAGUAUCCAUAGGAAGGAAAGCAUCAAGCCCCAGUGGCAGGAAAGAAAAGCACAAAAUCCAAGUGUUCUGGAAGAAGAUGAGAGGUGGCCACCCUUAGGCCAAGCCAGCCAGACCUGUCUCUCCUGCCACCUUUCAUCUCAGGGCUAUCCUUGGACACAGGGAAUUUUGGAGGUGGAAUCUCAAUUUUGGCCAUGGGCACCUGGACAGGAAGAGGAAAGCACAGAGCCCCAGUGUUCCAGAGGCACACGAGUGCUAGCCCUCAGGAAGCCAAGGCCAGCCAGACUUGUCAGUCCUGGCAGCUUCUGUCUGGGAGCUAUCCUUGGAUAUAGGGAAUUCUGGAGGUAGAUGCCCAAUUUUGGCCAUGGGUGCCUGGUUGAGAUGGAUGUUUUUUCCCAUAAGAUAUAAAAGCACAUGGCCCCAGUAUUUGAAAGGCAGAUGAGUUGUGGCCCCUGGGUGGCCAAGGCAGCCAGACCUGUCUCUCCUGGCAGAUUUAAUCUGGAAACAAACCUUGAAAUAUAGGGAAAUUUGGAGAAAUAAUCUCGGUUUUGGCCCUGGGUCGCUAGAGGAGAAGGACAGUUCUCUCCCAUAGAAGGAAAGCCCAGAGCCCCAGGGCUUCAGGGGCAGAUGAGAAGCAGCCCUCGACAUGCCAAGGUCAGCCAGACCUGUCAGGUGGUCCCCAGGAGCCCCAGCCAGCCAGACCUGUUCCAUGUUCCCUUGGUUUUGUGGGACCCCACAGUGUCACAAUGGUCUCCUUGGUUCCAUGAGGCCCUGGAGUGUCACAAUGUCCCCCUUGCUUCUGCAGUGUCACAAUGGGCCCGUGCUUCCAUGAGGCCUUGCAAUGUCACAAUGGCUUUGUGGUUCCACAAAGCCCUGAUGUGUCACAAUGGCCCCUCGGCUCCGUGCGCCCUCGCUGUGUCACAACGGCUCCUCUGUGACACUGCGGGCUCCACAAGGUCACCACGAACCCUUGGUUCCUUGGGGCCCCCGAGUUCCACAAUGGUCUCCUUGAUUCCAUGAGGCAGCACAGUGUCACAAUGGCCCCUUGGUUCCAUGAGGUUCCGUAGUGUCACCGUGGUGUCCUUGGAUCCACAUUGUCACAACUGACCGGGGGUAAUCACAUAUCCUCUGAACAUCGAGAGAGCUCUCCCAGGAUUUUCCUGGGAAGCUGUGAGAAGCUGUGAGAAAGCUCAGAGAGACGAAUGAGAAACCAUUCUUAUCUUCAUUUACUGCACCUGUUGUUGUGCACAUGUGGAAUGUGUUAUGGAGAUUUGUUUACCAAAGGGUGAUUUCUUAACUGGCCAAUGGUGACUGUGUUUGGAUUUCAAUCAACCAAUCUGGUCUGUCUGUAUCUGACUGUCUGCAAGAGCAAUGAGUGUUUCUUAGUAGUAUAGUAUAGUAUAAUAUAAUAAAGCGAUUGAUCAGCCUU
Molecule: long non-coding RNA, 1461 nt
Organism: Vidua chalybeata
Lineage: Eukaryota; Metazoa; Chordata; Aves; Passeriformes; Viduidae
Exons: 2
Source: RefSeq, a predicted model, not a curated record